RNAcentral lists this transfer RNA (70 nucleotides) under Macrostomum lignano. It matches the Rfam family "tRNA". Rfam says of the family: Transfer RNA (tRNA) molecules are approximately 80 nucleotides in length. Their secondary structure includes four short double-helical elements and three loops (D, anti-codon, and T loops). Lineage: Eukaryota; Metazoa; Platyhelminthes; Macrostomidae. The record is from Rfam by way of RNAcentral.
GGGGUUGUAGCCUAGUGGUUAGAGCGUCGGAUUCAGAACUUGAAGGUCGGGGGUUCGAUUCCCGAUCCCA